ACGUAGGAGGCAAGCGUUGUCCGGAUUUACUGGGUGUAAAGGGUCCGCAGGCGGAUGGACAAGUCGAAUGUGAAAACCUUCGGCUUAACUCAAGAGCUGCCGUCGAUACUGUUUAUCUUGAAUACAGGAGAGGGUAACGGAAUUCCAGGUGUAGCGGUGAAAUGCUUAGAUAUCUGGAAGAACACCGGUAGCGAAGGCUGUUGCCUGGACUGGUAUUGACGCUCAGGGACGAAAGCGUGGGGAGCAAACAG
This 251-nucleotide ribosomal RNA is filed under the name uncultured prokaryote. RNAcentral describes it as "partial 16S rRNA". It matches the Rfam family "Bacterial small subunit ribosomal RNA", at positions 525 to 775 of the family's 1533-position model. The record is from RNAcentral.